Callithrix jacchus (white-tufted-ear marmoset) is the source of this 1641-nucleotide long non-coding RNA. NCBI's taxonomy places the organism in Eukaryota, Metazoa, Chordata, Mammalia, Primates, Cebidae. The record is from Ensembl.
AUGUGCACCUGUACAUGUGUGAAUAUGCAUGCCAGUAUAUGUGCGUUGGUGUGUGUUCAGCUGUGUAUAUUCAGCUGUGUAUUUGUGUGUGUUUGCAACAGUGUGUGUGCAUGUCUGUCUCUGUAUGUGUUCAUGCGUGUUCACACCUGCAUGUGUGCGCCUGCCUGUGUGUACAUGUGUUUGGUUUGCCUGUGUGUGUGCACAUGCCUGUGUCUGUGCAUGUGUGCACACCCGUGUGUACUUCUAUGUGCUCAUGCCUGUGUGUGCAUGUUUGCACCUGUGUGUGUGCACCUGCCUGUGUAUACGCAUGUGUUUGGACCUGUGUGCCCAUGUGUUUGUGUGUGUGUGUGUGUGCACAUGCCUGUCUGUUUAUAUGCAUGUUUAGACCUGUGUGCCCAUGUGUUUGUGUGUGUGUGUGUGUGCACGUGCCUAUCUGUGUAUAUGCACGUUUGGACCUGUGUGCCCAUGUGUUUGUGUGUGUGUGUGCACGUGCCUAUCUGUGUAUAUGCACGUUUGGACCUGUGUGCCCAUGUGUUUGUGUGUGUGUGCGUGCACGUGCCUAUCUGUGUAUAUGCACGUUUGGACCUGUGUGCCCAUGUGUUUGUGUGUGUGUGUGCACGUGCCUAUCUGUGUAUAUGCACGUUUGGACCUGUGUGCCCAUGUGUUUGUGUGUGUGUGCAUGUGCCUAUCUGUGUAUAUGCACGUUUGGACCUGUGUGCCCAUGUGUUUGUGUGUGUGUGUGCACGUGCCUGUCUGUGUAUAUGCAUGUGUUUGGACCUGCGUGCCCAUGUCUUUUUGUGUGUGUGUGUGCACCUGCCUGUCUGUGUAUAUGCAUGUGUUUGGACCUGCGUGCCCAUGUCUUUUUGUGUGUGUGUGUGUGCACCUGCCUGUCUGUGUAUAUGCAUGUGUUUGGACCUGCGUGCCCAUGUGUUUGUGUGUGUGUGUGUGUGCACGUGCCUGUCUGUGUAUAUGCAUGUGUUUGGACCUGCGUGCCCAUGUCUUUUUGUGUGUGUGUGUGCACGUGCCUGUCUGUGUAUAUGCAUGUGUUUGGACCUGCGUGCCCAUGUCUUUUUUUGUGUGUGUGUGUGCACGUGCCUGUCUGUGUAUAUGCAUGUGUUUGGACCUGCGUGCCCAUGUGUUUGUCUGUGUGUGUGUGCACGUGCCUGUCUGUGUAUAUGCAUGUGUUUGGACCUGUGUGCCCAUGUGUUUGUGGGUGUGUGUGUGUGCACGUGCCUGUCUGUGUAUAUGCACGUUUGGACCUGUGUGCUCAUGUGUUUGUGUGUGUGUGUGUGUGCACAUGCCUGUCUGUGUAUAUGCACGUUUGGACCUGUGUGCCCAUGUGUUUGUGUGUGUGUGUGUGCACGUGCCUAUCUGUGUAUAUGCAUGUUUGGACCUGCGUGCCCAUGUGUUCGUGUGUUUGUGUGCACGUGCCUGUCUGUGUAUAUGCAUGUGUUUGGACCUGCGUGCCCAUGUCUUUUUUUGUGUGUGUGUGUGCACGUGCCUGUCUGUGUAUAUGCAUGUGUUUGGACCUGCGUGCCCAUGUCUUUUUGUGUGUGUGUGUGCACGUGCCUCUGUGUGUUUGGGCUAUUAUUGCAUCUGGUUAUUUUGUUUAAAGAAGCCAAGUUCAAUUUUUGGGUUUGA